UUCGGCGACCAUGGCGAAGGGGAAACACCCGGUUACAUUCCGAACCCGGAAGUUAAGCCCUUCAGCGCCGAUGGUACUGCACGGGAGACUGUGUGGGAGAGUAGGACGUCGCCGGAC
Molecule: ribosomal RNA, 117 nt
Filed under: Solicola gregarius
Lineage: Bacteria; Bacillati; Actinomycetota; Actinomycetes; Propionibacteriales; Nocardioidaceae
Source: RNAcentral